CCCUUAGAUGUUCUGGGCUGCACGCGCGCUACACUGACACACUCAGCGAGUCUCCUGACCCGAGAGGGUUGGGUAAUCAUGUGAGCGUGUGUCGUGAUGGGGAUAGAAUAUUGUAAUUAUUGCUCUUCAACGAGGAAUUCCUAGUAAGCGCGAGUCAGCAGCUCGCGCUGAUUACGUCCCUGCCCUUUGUACACACCGCCCGUCGCUCCUACCGAUGGGGUGAUCCGGUGAAUGAUUCGGACUUCCGCGUUGCUAGCUACUAGUUUCGCGGAAGAAAGUUUUGUGAACCUUAUCACUUGGAGGAAGGAGAAGUCGUAACA
Molecule: ribosomal RNA, 320 nt
Filed under: uncultured eukaryote
Lineage: Eukaryota
Description: partial 18S ribosomal RNA
Rfam family: Eukaryotic small subunit ribosomal RNA
Source: RNAcentral